AUUGAACGCUGGCGGCAGGCCUAACACAUGCAAGUCGAACGAGUGGCGGACGGGUGAGUAAUGUCUGGGAAACUGACCGAUGGAGGGGGAUAACGACUGGAAACGGUAGCUAAUACCGCAUACCAUCGGAUGUGCCCAGAUGGGUGUAGCUAGUAGGUGGGGUGACGGCUCACCUAGGACACGAUCCCUAGCUGGUCUGAGAGUAUGACCAGCCACACUAGAACGGAUCCCAGGUCCAGACUCCUACGGGAGGCGGCAGUGGAGAAUAUUGCACGAGGGGCGCAAGCCUGAUGCAGCCAUGCCGCGUGUAUGAAGGAGUCCUUCGUGUUGUAAAGUACUUUCAGCGAGGAGGCGUUACUCGCAGAAGAAGCACCGGCUAACUCCGUGCCAGCAGCCGCGGUAAUUC
Molecule: ribosomal RNA, 406 nt
Filed under: uncultured bacterium
Lineage: Bacteria
Description: partial 16S ribosomal RNA
Rfam family: Bacterial small subunit ribosomal RNA
Source: RNAcentral